This 478-nucleotide ribosomal RNA is filed under the name uncultured bacterium. RNAcentral's name for it is "bacterial SSU rRNA". It matches the Rfam family "Bacterial small subunit ribosomal RNA", at positions 28 to 501 of the family's 1533-position model. The record is from RNAcentral.
GAUGAACGCUAGCGGCAGGCUUAACACAUGCAAGUCGAGGGGCAGCAUACCCAGCAAUGGGUGAUGGCGACCGGCGGAAGGGUGCGUAACGCGUGAGCAACAUACCCUAUACAGGGGGAUAAGCCAGGGAAACUUGGUCUAAUAUCCCAUAGGAAAUAGAUAAGGCAUCUUGUUUAUUUUAAAGCUUCGGUGGUAUAGGAUUGGCUCGCGUGACAUUAGCUAGAUGGAGGGGUAACGGCCCACCAUGGCAAUGAUGUCUAGGGGUUCUGAGAGGAAGAUCCCCCACACUGGGACUGAGACACGGCCCAGACUCCUACGGGAGGCAGCAGUGAGGAAUAUUGGACAAUGGAUGGAAAUCUGAUCCAGCCAUGCCGCGUGCAGGAAGACGGCCCUAUGGGUUGUAAACUGCUUUUAUACGGGAGCAAUAAGGUCUAUGCAUAGAUUGAUGAGAGUACCGUAUGAAUAAGCAUCGGCUAAC